GGAACGGUACAGCUCAGUGGCAGAGUGCAUGCCUAGCAUGCACGAGGUCCUGGGUUCAAUCCCCGGUACCUCCA
Non-coding RNA from Camelus ferus (Wild Bactrian camel), 74 nucleotides. The record is from Rfam. Lineage: Eukaryota; Metazoa; Chordata; Mammalia; Artiodactyla; Camelidae.